AGACAGCGCUAUCGCGCUUCCUCAGCCCGAACGGCAUCGAAGUAACGAUUCGAUAAAACCAUCUUUGCGAUUUGUU
Molecule: non-coding RNA, 76 nt
Filed under: Legionella shakespearei DSM 23087
Lineage: Bacteria; Pseudomonadati; Pseudomonadota; Gammaproteobacteria; Legionellales; Legionellaceae
Description: Legionella RNA 69
Rfam family: Legionella RNA 69
Source: Rfam by way of RNAcentral